Cavia porcellus (domestic guinea pig) is the source of this 6812-nucleotide long non-coding RNA. RefSeq lists it as uncharacterized. The record is from RefSeq and is a predicted model, not a curated record. NCBI's taxonomy places the organism in Eukaryota, Metazoa, Chordata, Mammalia, Rodentia, Caviidae. The transcript is spliced from 9 exons.
CCGCCCUCGCCCAUCCCUCAUCCAGGGCCCCGCCCCCUCGCGGCGCCCGGCGCGCUGCCGUCACCGACCAGGCGCUUGGGAACAAGCACAGCUCUCAACCCUCUCGCUCGGGAUUGGCCCCCGGCGGACAGGGGGCGGGCCGUCGGCGAGAACUAGGACCAAUCAUUGGUUGGUAGGAAUGGAGGAGGUGGGCAAUAGAAUGACUGAAGUUUAGAGAGGGUGAAAAAAAGUUUGGAGAGUGAGGGAGGACGGAGAAGAGGGGAAGAAAGGGGGCUGACCGCCGAGUGGAACGGACUGCAGGUCGCAAUCGGCGAGAGGUCCUCUGUCCCGCGGCCGGAGCCCAGGAAACUCGGAUACCAAGGGACCAAACUCUUCGAGAUCAUGGCAGAUCCAAAAUGGUUUUCCUUCAUAGCUGUGCAUCACUGCAAACAAUUAGAUCUGUCUUUCUAAUGUGCCAGCCAUUAAUCACUAAAGGCUAGAUACUGGGAACUCGUGUCCAACAGGAUACUAAAAUUAGACUCUUCUGUCUCAGUUUUGCUAAGGUUGAAUCUAAACCCCUAAGCCUGGAAUUUGAUGUCCCCUGUUACCUGAGCUCAUCUAUAUUUUUCAACCAAAGCUCCCACAAGUCCUAAUAGAACAUUUCACUUCUAUCAGAGUCUUGUUAUGUACUUCAGACUGGCCUUGAAUUCAUUACAUAUCCCAGGCUGGCCUUAAACUCAAAGCAAUCCUCCUGCUACAGAGGAAAUACGAAAAAAAUCAAAUGUGCUAGAGAAGCCUGACCAAGAUGACCAACUCCUUGGGGUGCAUAGGAUUACCUUUCUACUGGAGCCCAUUUCUUAACAAAGUAUCUGGGGUUCUCCAACUCAUUAAUUAAAGGAUCAUUUGAGCUCUCAAAGACUUGAGUGAGGAAAGCCAGUGUUUGAAAAUUUCAGCACCCAGAGAGCUUCUCAGCCAAUUAAAUCUGUGUCCUUGGAGGAGGUUUUUGCUUUUGUUUGCUUUAAAUCUCCAGUUAAUUCAAAUGUGCUGCAUGGUCAAGAACCAUCACUCUAACGGGAAGUCCAAAGAGCUGGGAAUAAAUUACCACCUUUCCAGAUCCUGCCUUUGCCACCGGAGAGUAUGUGGGUUGUCUCCUGUCUGGUCAGACACCAAGGACAGGAUCUCAAAAUCAAGGAUCCACCAGAAGACAACUUCUCAUUGUGCUGAGCUCCCUGACCCCAACCCCUGUGCACACACUUGAACUUCAUGUUGCCACACUAACGUGUUUACAUUGAGACCCUCUGCCUCAGUCAGAGGGACUGGAAACCUGGAAGAAGUGAUGAAGCUUCUCCUGUUCUGCUGUAGUCAGCUACUUAAAAGGACCACAAUACUACUCAAAGGUUCUGACAGCAACAGAACCCAAGGAGAAGUUCGCAGAUCUGUCUCCCUCCCCACUUCCCUAGGGCAGCCCAAACUCAGACAUGUCACCACCAGGCUGAAGCCAGUCUGUUCUCCUAAUGUCCCAGGCUGUGGACAGGAAGGGAAGGACACAGCUAGGCUCCUUACACAGGAACCCUUUUUCUUUUAUUUUUUUUUGAACCCUUGGCACCUACAUUUAACUGGAACCUUCUAGGGAUAGUUGGUUGAACUGCAGAGGAAUUAGAAAAGGCCUGCUGACUGGUUACGGUGAGGGGAGACUAGGUUCUAGCUUCCUAUAUUGGAAAUGUACAUACAACUUUUCCUAGAAAUAUGUUAUAGGUACUUAAACACUUCACCGAAGGAGUUAAAUAGGCUUUCGCCAAAAGAUCUUUCCAAAUCUAGCAUAUAGGACAUUAUUUUCCUUUGAGAAAUGUGUUACUGAUCUCAAAUAAUUUGCAUUCAGUUUUUAUAAUGGCAAAUAAAGAGAUUCUUAUUAAAAUAUAUAACUAAUAAUUUGCAUUCAGAAACCAUUUAUCUAACGUGAGUGUAGUAGUACAUACCUGUACUACUAAAGAGUCUGAGACAAGGACAUUUCAAAGUUCAAGGCCGGCCUGAACAAUUUAAUGAGCCUCUGUCUCAAAAUAAAGUAAAAUAAAAGGGAAUUGGAGGAUGUAGCUCAGUGGUAGAGAGUUUGCUUUGCAUGUGUGAGGCCUUGAGUUCAAUUCUAUGUACAGAAAAAGAGAAAUUAAAGAAUAUCUACUUACCUAUAAAUGUGAACCAUUGUCCACACCAUCCCUAUUGCCACCCAAUCCUUAAAUUCAAGCAAGUCUGCACACUGCUGAAUAAAUGUAUUCAGUUUUCAUUUUUUUGUACCUUCCUCCACCCAAAGUUCAUGCAGUGAUUUUGCACUCUGUCCUGCACCUUGUAGCUUAGAUGCUGGAGGCCCCAGGGCAGAAACUGUCCCUUGUUUUCACACUCCCCAGUGCAUAUUUUCAGCCUUCUCUAAAUUGUGAAUGCAAGAAAUAAAGUGCCUCCCCACUUCUUAGGAGAGACACAUUUUCCACUCACACCUUCUCUGUGGGAUGGGGAGGGGCUGGCUGUGAAAGGUGGGCAGUGGAGAAGAGGGUGCUCAGCUAUGCCCAGCCCAGAGCCCCAUUCACCCUUAAAUGGUUCUGCCUGAUAAUCUUAGUCUUGUUGGAAGAGGAGGGCUUUUGCCUUUCCAUAUUUUCAACACAGGAAAGAUUGAGUUUACUAGAAAAUAAGUGUUGUUAUGAAUGGAACAGGCUGAGGCUCCUGUAUCACCUGUCUAUGUGGCCUUUUUGUUCAUCUAUGAAAAUCUUUUAAGAGUAGGCUGGGAAAAUAUUUUUCAGCUCCAUACAUUAAAGUUAAAUCAGCAGUUCUCAGCUUGGGAUAGAUUUGUCCCCCAUGGGAAAUUUGGCAACGUUUGGAGACAUUUUGGGUUUUCAUGACUGAGAGGAGGAGUUGAGACCAGAGUUGCUAUUAAAUAUCCUAUAAUACAUAGGGCAGUCCCCACAGCAAAGAAUGCCAGUGUCAAAGCUAAAACCUCUAAGUCAAAUGGUUAUAUCUGGUCUGUCACCAUUAUUAUAUCAUCCAGGGAAACAAACACCCAGAAAUCAUUGAGACCUCACAUUUGCCAUGAUUUAAAUGUAUAGAAGGACAAAUGACUUUUUUCUGAACUAUAUUUCCCUGUUACUGGUUUACUGGUUACUGGUUUAUAGUCACACAAUGAUUUAAGAAAAUUAACAUUUCCUUAAAGUGUCAUCUUCACUGUUAAUCAUCUUUUACAAAUCAAUCAAGCUUUUAUUACUCUAAGCAAGUAAUAAUUGAGGGAGCAGAAGAAACUGCAGAAUGUACUGAGAUGAGGCAGCUGGCUCAUUCACCAACUGCCUGCGGCAGAUUGUACUAUCUGGAAAUGAGUGUGCGGGUAUCUCCUAUCCUACACAUUCUUCUUACAAUUUGACUUUGGCAGUCCUCCCAUUGAGAGGUAGGGACUGUCUUCCCUCCGGUUGAAUCUGGGAAUAUGUUUGAUCAUGGUGCAAGUGAUACCAUGUGAUCCCAAGCAUAAAAGGAACAUAGCUUCCUCUUAGUUCUCUGGGAACCUGGCCACUGGAUGUGAGGAAGCAGGUGUGUAGGUGUUUUGGCUGAGGCAGAGAAGUCCCUGCUGGCAACCAUCAUCAGUUCACAGACACGAGGGCAAGCAAGCCUUCAGUUAGCUUCUGACCUUUUCCACUGAAUCACCCACUGUCUGAGUGCCAACAACUAAGCUGUGGAAAAAGACAAGCUAUCUAUACUACAGUUCCCUAAUUUCUGACCCACACACUCCAUAGCUAUAAGGAAAUUGUUAUUUUAAGUCAAGAGUUUUGGGUAAUUGUUAUGCAACAAAAUAAAUCUGCUGUAGUAAUUUUUCCUCUAAUCUAUAAAAACUUACCUUGCAAUAAAAUUCCAAAAUACUAUGUAAUAAUGGACUUUCCAGAAACCAUUAAUGCUGAAUUUUUCACUGUUAAAGAUACCCAAAAUGGUGGAAACAACAACAAUAAAAAAAUCCAAAUGGCAAACUUACUAUCAUUCACCUGUCCUGUACCUAAGGCAGGCAUCAUUAAUUAAUCGCAGAACUCUUUCCUGAGGAAGAAGGAUCCGGUCCAAAAGUGCUUCUCAACAAAGUGCUCAAAAAGCAAAUCAACAACCAAGUGACUGGGGCUGUCAUACAAUUUGAAAUCGCUUUUCCAUCCCCAGGAUUCUUUGUAAGAAUUGAGCUAGGUUCCACUGGCUGAUGCCCAGAAAGAAGAUUUAACUAUUGUUUAAUCAGGUGCAUAAACAGGAUGCCGUGCCUUGUUUGCAAAAAUUCUGUUAUAUUAACUUAGUAGAUGAAUGUGGUGGCAUUCUUUUAUCAUGAUUUUUGAGAACUUGGAAUGAAACAAUAGUGAUUUAUUGAUGCCAACACCAUUUUUAUUAAAAACAAAUAAACCUAAAUCCCUGGUACAUGAGGAAAAUGUUUAACUCCUUUUUAAAAAAGUGGAACAAUCUCCAAAUAAAACCCCCACAUUAUUAAUGGGUCCAUAUGUCUAGCCAGCGACUGAAGAUUGCCAAGCUUCUGGGAUAGUUCAGAAGUAGAAUUUUUUAUUUUAGUUUGAUGAAGCAUGCAUAGAGCGACAGAAGCCACUGACACAUGUGUGAUUUUGAUGUUUGUUCAAUGCACAUUAUUAUAGCAGGUCUAGCAAAGAGCAUGAAAUACAUAUGCCCUCUUUCUUUCAAUUUUCUGUUUGUGAAUUUGAUGUCUUCACCCUACAACUGACAGCUAAAUUUUUCUCUCAUCUACCAGGGAUUCUGGGAAAGUUGUUUACUUUUAAAAGAAAUGUAAUAAUGGUUAUUUGAAGAAAAUAACUGAAGUAAUUGAAUUCCUAGGAAGGCGGACCACACAACUGAGGUACUUUUUAACUUAAGAUUUCAACAAUUCUGGUAACAGCACGGUCACCCUUACUCUUUCAUGGUGACUUUUGGAACUUUGAAUCUAGCUAUCUACAACAGGACAGCAAAAUGGUACAAAAGAGGAAAAGUCACACAGACUGAAAUUCUCUUAAUUGUCCACGUGAGAACAUUUUACAAAUUAUAACUUAACUAAGGCAAUAACAUGAGGAAUGUUUUUGAGAUCAGCGAACAUUGUUUCCCACGUCUCUGCUGGCAUGUCCUCUGUCCCCUUCUCACUGUUAAAUAACAUUUAUUCUCUCUUUAUUUUUCUACAACAAGCAUAUCAACAAAUCUAUGUCCUCAUGUUCAGAUACCAGAUCAUUUUCCUUCCUAGUUGCCAUUCGCUGUCCUCUCAGGAAAACUAUUGAUUCCUUGGCUAAUCUGAAACUGAUUCAAACUGAGAUAUUAUGAGCUUUGCUCUAGUCAGAAAAAAAAGUUGAGAUGAUAUAAAUUAAAAGUAAGUGGAUGUAUUUUACUUAUUUAGAGGACUAUGUAAACAUAGCAAACAAUGCCAGUGAACAUUACAUUCUCACAACUUUGGGAGAUACCUAUGACUUUGCUCAUUUUCCUGAUGUGGAAAGGGAAGAAAAGGCAAGUCUAGAGAUUGCUCGAGGCUCCAAGAUUCAAAAAGCCAUCAGCUUCACUGCAAAGCACAAGCAUUUGGCUGUCAUGCCUUUCUUUUAGUGUUACCUUUCUUGGCUUUGAGAGAGUUAAGAAGAUGACCCUCUCCUGGCAAUUUUGAGGAGAAAAAGCAUUUAACCACCCUCACUCCUGAUGGCCAAUAUGAAAAUUAGAACACUGAUGUGACUGCAGCUCUUCUGGAACACUUAGCAAAUGGCUUGCUUUGAAAAGUCGAGUGUUUACUCACUCAAGUGCUAAUUUUUAAAUGUGUAUGAAAAUUUUUCGUAAAUGCAUUCUGCAACUCCAUUCUUUCAUGAGGUAGAUAUUCUAAACACAAUUUAACCUUUAGUCUUUCCUUAUAUACUCAAGGUUUGCCAUGUGAACAUUAGCUACCCUUAAAGAGGCUGCAGACAGCAAUGCCCUAGAGGACCGUGGAAGUACAUAGAGCUGUUUUUAACCUACGUCUUAAGUGGUCCCAGACUACUGUGCUAUUUGAGUUCUUGUGUCUGCUUUUCAUAGAUUUUCUGUCUUGUCAACCUCUUGGGUAUUGACUCUCAUUUGCUAUUAGUAUCUGUCUCUAUUAGUUCUUCUUUGUCUAAUCUUGCUACUUAUAGUUUGUGAUGGAUAUGCCAGAUAUUUAGGCAUAUUUUGUCCAAAAAUACCCACUGCAUGACUGAGGGGACUACUGGUAAAUAUGAAACAUGAAUUUUAGUGAAUUGAAUUUAUAACAUCUAUUUUAACUUUUUAAUUCUCUGAGCCAUAACUGAUGAGACUGUUAAUCAAUGUGCUAGAAAUAUCUAUUGGUGCCUGCCUGCUCACAAUCCCUUUUAAGGAAAUUUCCUGGCUGUCAUAGCCUCUGCUUCUUAGCUGGCCAUGUUUUGCCUAUAAAGGAAUCCACCCACAUCAUCUAUACUACAUGUGAUUGGAUGCGUGGAAUGCCAGACUCAAGGCCACCAGAUUACAGACUGGCCAGCAACCAUGAUGAAAAGAUGUGCAUGGCUAGUCCUAGCUCUGGGGAAUUGGAAUUGGAUGGAUGGAGUGGUAUUUGAAACAACAUUUACAGUGGAAUUGUGUCCCUUGAGGCUACCAUGUGCGUUGGACUGCAUGAAGUGAUGAAGCAGUAGAAUUUCUAAGCUAACCAGUGGGAGAAAGAGAAGGAAGCAAAUGCAUGGACUGAGAUGGGAGUGUGGAGAAGGCUGGAAUUUAUUCCGUGUGUAUCUUUACUUUGAGUACUAUUUCUCGUGGGGCAACUUGAAUGAGUCUCUGUAUCUUGCUACAAAAGAAUCCAACUAUAAAAACUAAUUUCUUGA